AAACCAUGAUGAGGACACUCUAAGAGAAGAUCCUUAAAACAUUCCAUACACCUAGAAAAUGAUUCAUUAUGAAACUGGAGAAUGUCGUUCCUAAGUUU
This 98-nucleotide small nucleolar RNA is filed under the name Cephalotus follicularis. RNAcentral describes it as "Plant small nucleolar RNA R71". It matches the Rfam family "Plant small nucleolar RNA R71". From Rfam's summary of the family: R71 is a member of the C/D box family of snoRNAs containing the C (UGAUGA) and D (CUGA) box motifs. Multiple nearly identical copies of this snoRNA have been identified in Arabidopsis, and it is thought to function as a 2'-O-ribose methylation guide for 18S ribosomal RNA. Lineage: Eukaryota; Viridiplantae; Streptophyta; Magnoliopsida; Oxalidales; Cephalotaceae. The record is from Rfam by way of RNAcentral.